UUCCUAAUCGGGGUCCUUACCCUUACAACCAACCCAAGCGUAAUACAAUUCAGUUCACUCAUACACAGAUAGAGGCCAUCCGUGCUGGAAUGCAGCCUGGGCUGACUAUGGUAAGAGCAUUAUUGUUACACGUGUUUUUACAUGGAUUCAGACUAGAAGUGAGCGUCGGAUUUUUACAGUGUCUUCUAUUUGAAGCACAAAAGCCAAACUGAAUUAAGUGUUUCUAAGUGCUUGUGACAUCUUACGCAUAUGGAGAUCUUGCUACUCAUUUCAGUGUUCAUAAAUAAAGUUUUAUUAGACCAUC
This is a long non-coding RNA of Myotis davidii, 304 nucleotides long. RefSeq lists it as uncharacterized. The record is from RefSeq and is a predicted model, not a curated record. The transcript has 2 exons. Lineage: Eukaryota; Metazoa; Chordata; Mammalia; Chiroptera; Vespertilionidae.